This 586-nucleotide ribosomal RNA is filed under the name Debaryomyces hansenii. Its description in RNAcentral is "LSU rRNA". It matches the Rfam family "Eukaryotic large subunit ribosomal RNA", at positions 52 to 653 of the family's 3401-position model. Lineage: Eukaryota; Fungi; Ascomycota; Pichiomycetes; Serinales; Debaryomycetaceae. The record is from RNAcentral.
GGAGGAAAAGAAACCAACAGGGAUUGCCUUAGUAACGGCGAGUGAAGCGGCAAAAGCUCAAAUUUGAAAUCUGGCACCUUCGGUGUCCGAGUUGUAAUUUGAAGAAGGUAACUUUGGAGUUGGCUCUUGUCUAUGUUCCUUGGAACAGGACGUCACAGAGGGUGAGAAUCCCGUGCGAUGAGAUGCCCAAUUCUAUGUAAAGUGCUUUCGAAGAGUCGAGUUGUUUGGGAAUGCAGCUCUGAGUGGGUGGUAAAUUCCAUCUAAAGCUAAAUAUUGGCGAGAGACCGAUAGCGAACAAGUACAGUGAUGGAAAGAUGAAAAGAACUUUGAAAAGAGAGUGAAAAAGUACGUGAAAUUGUUGAAAGGGAAGGGCUUGAGAUCAGACUUGGUAUUUUGCGGUCCUUUCCUUCUUGGUUGGGUUCCUCGCAGCUUACUGGGCCAGCAUCGGUUUGGAUGGUAGGAUAAUGACUAAGGAAUGUGGCUCUACUUCGGUGGAGUGUUAUAGCCUUGGUUGAUACUGCCUGUCUAGACCGAGGACUGCGUCUUUUGACUAGGAUGUUGGCAUAAUGAUCUUAAGCCACCCGUC